This is a non-coding RNA of Vigna angularis (adzuki bean), 305 nucleotides long. NCBI's taxonomy places the organism in Eukaryota, Viridiplantae, Streptophyta, Magnoliopsida, Fabales, Fabaceae. The record is from Rfam.
GCCGAGUUGGGUAACGUUAACUUGUGACUCAAGUGAGGGCAUUAUGAUGGUGGGAUAAUACUGUGGUUUCACUUGGUUGGGCUUUGAUUGCAAGAUGUUGGCCUGCCCGUUCCAAGCUGAGAGCUGACCCAAGUGACUUCAGCGAAGGCCUGGGUCUCUUAGGUCCUAAAGUGGAGGGCAAAGCGUGAGGCUGGUUUCACAGAGCAGCGAAAACCUCCCUCUCUUGACGGUGGAGGGAUAACAGGCUGCUGCAGCCACUGUCCUAUAUUAUGCCCAGUGAUCCUAGUUCUUAGACCACCACCACU